Molecule: long non-coding RNA, 841 nt
Organism: Ictidomys tridecemlineatus (thirteen-lined ground squirrel)
Lineage: Eukaryota; Metazoa; Chordata; Mammalia; Rodentia; Sciuridae
Source: RefSeq, a predicted model, not a curated record
CAGUGAGGAUAGCCAGCCGGCUGGUCUGCAGGGGCUACCUCCUUUGAGAAGCUGAUCGCUCCUAGAGAUGACAAUCCUGGCCGCCCCGCAGGAGGCCGGGCUGCAGUAUGCAGUGUCCUCCACGUCCCUGGGCCCUGUCGGUCCUGCUCCUGCAAGCGGCAGGCCUGGGAAGGAAGAGUUAACCAGAAAUGGAGCGGCGCUGCUCCGGGGCAAGCAGGCUCGCUGCAGAACAGAGCCGAGAUCGUGCAAAGGCAAGUCAUUUCCCGAAACACUGCAGACACACGGCCUCGGGCAGCCUAAAACCUUUGGAGACCAAAAUGGCUCGCAGGGGUUGGAAGUAAUAAGGUGUUUUUCCCCUUCUUUCUCCUUCACUGAGAUUCUGCGAGGUUGCUCUGCAUGGCUGGGGAACAAUGGUGCUGUUUUUGUGUUUUCUGCAGCUCAGUAGUGCGGUGCGGGGCUGGCUGAGUGAAGUGCGUGCCCCAGUCGCUUUUGAGCAGAGCUCUGUGCCAUCCCUGGGUCCUCGGCAGAAUGAGCCAUGAAAGAACAUGACCUAUUUCCCUCCUGGAAAGUCUGUGAGGAUCCUUGGAGGCGACUUCAAAACUAGGAGCAGCAGAAUCGGCUUCCAUCCAACAAAUGACCCAGCAGCAGUGGGCCAGCAGCCACCGAAAUGACAUCUGUUAACUCUUUGUCAAAUGCCCUCUCCCAUCUCCCAAACAGCUCUGUGGUUAAUUACGACUUGAGCAUCUGACACAAGUCUUUCGAGUGGAGAGACCUGCUUAGGAAAAAUCUGGCUCCAAGAAAUUCCCUUCUCUCUCUCCCUCAAAAAAAAAAAAAAAAAAAA